Molecule: ribosomal RNA, 253 nt
Filed under: uncultured bacterium
Lineage: Bacteria
Description: partial 16S ribosomal RNA
Rfam family: Bacterial small subunit ribosomal RNA
Source: RNAcentral
UACGUAGGGUGCGAGCGUUAAUCGGAAUUACUGGGCGUAAAGCGUGCGCAGGCGGUUUUGUAAGACAGGUGUGAAAUCCCCGGGCUUAACCUGGGAACUGCAUUUGUGACUGCAAGGCUAGAGUGUGGCAGAGGGGGGUAGAAUUCCGCGUGUAGCAGUGAAAUGCGUAGAUAUGCGGAGGAACACCGAUGGCGAAGGCAGCCCCCUGGGCCGACACUGACGCUCAUGCACGAAAGCGUGGGGAGCAAACAGG